RNAcentral lists this ribosomal RNA (482 nucleotides) under uncultured bacterium. Its description in RNAcentral is "partial 16S ribosomal RNA". It matches the Rfam family "Bacterial small subunit ribosomal RNA", at positions 30 to 507 of the family's 1533-position model. The record is from RNAcentral.
AUUGAACGCUGGCGGCAUGCCUUACACAUGCAAGUCGAACGGUAACGGGCCUUCGGGUGCCGACGAGUGGCGAACGGGUGAGUAAUACAUCGGAACGUGCCCGAUCGUGGGGGAUAACGAGGCGAAAGCUUUGCUAAUACCGCAUACGAUCUACGGAUGAAAGCAGGGGACCGCAAGGCCUUGCGCGGACGGAGCGGCCGAUGGCAGAUUAGGUAGUUGGUGGGAUAAAAGCUUACCAAGCCGACGAUCUGUAGCUGGUCUGAGAGGAUGAUCAGCCACACUGGGACUGAGACACGGCCCAGACUCCUACGGUAGGCAGCAGUGGGGAAUUUUGGACAAUGGGCGCAAGCCUGAUCCAGCCAUGCCGCGUGCAGGAUGAAGGCCUUCGGGUUGUAAACUGCUUUUGUACGGAACGAAAAGCCUUCUUUUAAUACAGGAGGGUCAUGACGGUACCGUAAGAAUAAGCACCGGCUAACUACGUG